UCUGUCCUACGGGGCGCAGCAGUGAGGAAUAUUGGUCAAUGGACGAGAGUCUGAACCAGCCAAGUAGCGUGAAGGACGACUGCCCUAUGGGUUGUAAACUUCUUUUAUAUGGGAAUAAAAUGUUCCACGUGUGGGAUUUUGUAUGUACCAUAUGUAUAAGGAUCGGCUAACUCCGUGCCAGCAGCCGCGGUAAUACGGAGGAUCCGAGCGUUAUCCGGAUUUAUUGGGUUUAAAGGGAGCGUAGGUGGAUUGUUAAGUCAGUUAUGAAAGUUUGCGGCUCAACCGUAACAUUGCAGUUGAAACUG
This 305-nucleotide ribosomal RNA is filed under the name uncultured bacterium. Its description in RNAcentral is "bacterial SSU rRNA". It matches the Rfam family "Bacterial small subunit ribosomal RNA", at positions 333 to 635 of the family's 1533-position model. The record is from RNAcentral.